RNAcentral lists this non-coding RNA (28 nucleotides) under Mus musculus (house mouse). Lineage: Eukaryota; Metazoa; Chordata; Mammalia; Rodentia; Muridae. The record is from RNAcentral.
UGAGAAUCGUGAAGGGACCAGGUGUCAG